GUACACUCCUACGGGAGGCAGCAGUGGGGAAUAUUGGACAAUGGGCGCAAGCCUGAUCCAGCCAUGCCGCGUGAGUGAUGAAGGCCCUAGGGUUGUAAAGCUCUUUCAACGGUGAAGAUAAUGACGGUAACCGGAGAAGAAGCCCCGGCUAACUUCGUGCCAGCAGCCGCGGUAAUACGAAGGGGGCUAGCGUUGUUCGGAUUUACUGGGCGUAAAGCGCACGUAGGCGGACUAUUAAGUCAGGGGUGAAAUCCCGGGGCUCAACCCCGGAACUGCCUUUGAUACUGGUAGUCUUGAGUUCGAGAGAGGUGAGUGGAAUUCCGAGUGUAGAGGUGAAAUUCGUAGAUAUUCGGAGGAACACCAGUGGCGAAGGCGGCUCACUGGCUCGAUACUGACGCUGAGGUGCGAAAGCGUGGGGAGCAAACAGGAUUAGAUACCCCAGUAGUCCCAUG
RNAcentral lists this ribosomal RNA (452 nucleotides) under uncultured organism. Its description in RNAcentral is "partial 16S ribosomal RNA". It matches the Rfam family "Bacterial small subunit ribosomal RNA", at positions 331 to 799 of the family's 1533-position model. The record is from RNAcentral.